Molecule: ribosomal RNA, 404 nt
Filed under: Verrucomicrobiota bacterium
Lineage: Bacteria; Pseudomonadati; Verrucomicrobiota
Description: Verrucomicrobia bacterium partial 16S ribosomal RNA
Rfam family: Bacterial small subunit ribosomal RNA
Source: RNAcentral
UGGGGAAUAUUGCACAAUGGGGGAAACCCUGAUGCAGCGACGCCGCGUGAGCGAAGAAGGCUUUCGAGUCGUAAAGCUCUGUCCUAUGAGAAGAUAAUGACGGUAUCAUAGGAGGAAGCCCUGGCUAAAUACGUGCCAGCAGCCGCGGUAAUACGUAUGGGGCGAGCGUUAUCCGGAAUUAUUGGGCUUAAAGGGCAUCUAGGCGGUAAGACAAGUUGAAGGUGAAAACCUGUGGCUCAACCAUAGGCUUGCCUACAAAACUGUUGAACUAGAGUACUGGAAAGGUGGGUGGAACUACACGAGUAGAGGUGAAAUUCGUAGAUAUGUGUAGGAAUGCCGAUGAUGAAGAUAACUCACUGGACAGAAACUGACGCUGAAGUGCGAAAGCUAGGGGAGCAAACAGG